UCUCCAUUCUGCACAGUCUCUCGCCGGUCAGAGAGGCGAGAGAGUGUGCAAAAUGAAGAGA
RNAcentral lists this microRNA precursor (61 nucleotides) under Pristionchus pacificus. RNAcentral describes it as "mir-8364 microRNA precursor family". It matches the Rfam family "mir-8364 microRNA precursor family". Lineage: Eukaryota; Metazoa; Nematoda; Chromadorea; Rhabditida; Neodiplogasteridae. The record is from Rfam by way of RNAcentral.